This 429-nucleotide ribosomal RNA is filed under the name uncultured bacterium. RNAcentral describes it as "bacterial SSU rRNA". It matches the Rfam family "Bacterial small subunit ribosomal RNA", at positions 29 to 496 of the family's 1533-position model. The record is from RNAcentral.
AACGAACGCUGGCGGCAGGCCUAACACAUGCAAGUCGAGGGGAAGCCAUCUUCGGAUGGUGGAGACCGGCGCACGGGUGAGUAACGCGUGGGAAUUUACCUUGGAGUGGGGAAUAACCGCUGGAAACGGCGGCUAAUACCGCAUACGCCCUUAGGGGGAAAGCUUUAGCGCUCUGGGAUGAGCCCGCGUUAGAUUAGGUAGUUGGUGGGGUAAAGGCCUACCAAGCCUACGAUCUAUAGCUGGUCUGAGAGGAUGAUCAGCCACACUGGGACUGAGACACGGCCCAGACUCCUACGGGAGGCAGCAGUGGGGAAUAUUGGACAAUGGGGGCAACCCUGAUCCAGCCAUGCCGCGUGCGUGAAGAAGGCCUUAGGGUGUAAAGCGCUUUCACUGGUGAAGAUGAUGACGGUAGCCAGAGAGAAGCCCCGG